AAGGCUCCGCCCCUUCCCCGUCCUGCCAGGCUCCACAAUCACCUACAGAGAUCAUCGCUGUGGCCAGGCGGUUGUGUCGAUCCAGCUAGAGACAGGAGCUGAAACCAUGGCGGAGAAGACUCAAAAGAGCGUGAAGAUCGCACCUGGAGCAGUUGUGUGUGUAGAAAGCGAAAUCAGAGGUGAUGUCACUAUAGGACCCAGGACAGUGAUCCACCCUAAAGCACGAAUCAUCGCAGAAGCCGGUCCAAUAGUGAUAGGCGAAGGCAACCUAAUAGAGGAGCAGGCGCUUAUCAUAAAUGCUCACCCUGAUAAUAUCACUCCUGAUGCAGAAGAUCCAGAACCCAAACCUAUGAUCAUUGGCACCAAUAAUGUGUUUGAAGUUGGCUGUUAUUGCCAAGCCAUGAAAAUAGGAGAUAAUAAUGUUAUCGAGUCAAAAGCGUAUGUGGGCAGAAACGUGAUACUGACGAGUGGUUGUAUCAUCGGGGCCUGUUGCAACCUGAACACGUUUGAAGUCAUCCCUGAGAACACAGUGAUCUAUGGCGGAGACUGCCUGCGACGGGUGCAGACUGAGCGGCCACAGCAAAAUGAUUGAAGAGGGAGAGAUGAAGCUGGAGUUGGGUUAAGGGAGAUUAGAACUAAGUGAGCAAGAAUAUCUGAAGUUUAAUACGUAAUGCCCCAGACACUACAGCUGGAUUUCCUGAUGAAAAUCUUGCCAAACUACCAUCACCUAAAGAAGACCAUGAAAGGAAGCUCAACUCCAGUUAAGAACUAAAAACAAUAGAUGACAUCAAGAUAAUAUUUGUGUUUGACCAAUGUCUUUUUUUUUUUUUGACUGGUGUCUUUUGAAAGAGCCACGUUUGUGCAUUUAUAACAGUCCACGAAACACCUGUUGACUUUAUCUUGUAAAAUUGAAUUUGAGAAGAAAGUAAUGGAUUUUCAUUGUAACUGUCCUCUAUAAUUUAUAUAAAAUGUAUUAUUUUCUGAUGUCCUUGUCCCAUUCUGAUAAUUUACAGAUUUUUUUGUUCUAUGUUUUAUGUUAUAUAAAAUGUUGGCCAUGAGUUUUAGUUAUGUAAAAGACUACCCAUGAUAAGAAAGAACAUAUUGUUAUGUAUUUAUAUUCUAACAAAUACUAAACUAAAUAAAAAUGUUGAUGACAGGACUUUUACUUUAAUCAGUUUUUCUACUUGCAUCAACUUUCCCAAAAUAGCUCUUUUAAUUUUUAUUGUAUACUAGUUAAAUAUUAAAGCUAAUGUGUUUUCAUUUUC
This is an RNA transcript of Bubalus bubalis (water buffalo), 1265 nucleotides long. It is a transcript of the gene named dynactin subunit 6, with no coding region annotated. The transcript is spliced from 8 exons. The record is from RefSeq and is a predicted model, not a curated record. NCBI's taxonomy places the organism in Eukaryota, Metazoa, Chordata, Mammalia, Artiodactyla, Bovidae.